GGAUGUGAGGGCGAUCUGGCUGCGACAUCUGUCACCCCACUGAUCGCCAGGGUUGAUUCGGCUGAUCUGGCUGGCUAGGCGGGUGUCCCCCUCCUCCCUCACCGAUCCAUGUGCGUCCCUCCCAAAGCUGCGCGCUCGGUCGAAGAGGAUGACCUUCCCCCCCGAAGAGAGGACCGGUCUUCGGUCAAGGGUAUACGAGUAGCUGCGCUCCCCUGCUAGAACCUCCAAACAAGCUCUCAAGAAUCAUUGAUCGGCUGCCUCCUGCACAUCCCUUACUGGGGACCGCAACAUGGGUAUGUGCCUGAUCGG
This 309-nucleotide small nuclear RNA is filed under the name Myotis davidii. RNAcentral's name for it is "7SK RNA". It matches the Rfam family "7SK RNA". From Rfam's summary of the family: 7SK was discovered as an abundant small nuclear RNA in the mid-70s but a possible function has only recently been suggested. Lineage: Eukaryota; Metazoa; Chordata; Mammalia; Chiroptera; Vespertilionidae. The record is from Rfam by way of RNAcentral.